Molecule: ribosomal RNA, 433 nt
Filed under: uncultured bacterium
Lineage: Bacteria
Description: partial 16S ribosomal RNA
Rfam family: Bacterial small subunit ribosomal RNA
Source: RNAcentral
AACGAACGCUGGCGGCAUGCCUAACACAUGCAAGUCGAACGAGACCUUCGGGUCUAGUGGCGCACGGGUGCGUAACGCGGGGGAACCUGCCCUUAGGUUCGGAAUAACUCCCCGAAAGGGGUGCUAAUACCGGAUAAUGUCUUCGGACCAAAGAUUUAUCGCCUUUGGAUGGGCCCGCGUUGGUUUAGCUGGUUGGUAGGGUAAAAGCCUACCAAGGCGACGAUCCAUAGCUGGUCUGAGAGGAUGAUCAGCCACACUGGGACGGAGACACGGCCCAGACUCCUACGGGAGGCAGCCGUGGGGAAUAUUGGCCAAUGGGCGAAAGCCUGAUCCAGCUAUGCCGCGUGAGUGAUGAAGGCCUUAGGGUUGUAAAGCUCUUUUACCCGGGAUGAUACUGACAGUACCGGGAGAAUAAGCUCCGGCUAACUCCGUG